This 275-nucleotide signal recognition particle RNA is filed under the name Candidatus Woesearchaeota archaeon. Its description in RNAcentral is "signal recognition particle sRNA". It matches the Rfam family "Archaeal signal recognition particle RNA". Lineage: Archaea; Nanobdellati; Candidatus Woesearchaeota. The record is from RNAcentral.
GGGUAGACUAGGCUGGGUGGUUAGUCCUCACUUGUUACCUAUAACGGACUUAUGUAGGAGCCGAAGCUUGAUAAGAGCUCUAUAUUUUGGCUUGCGGUCCAAAUCUUAACUAUGAAAUUUGGUCUUGCAGGACUUGUGAUUUUACGAACUAUGUCAGAUCCUGACGGAAGCAGCAUUAAGUAAAUCUACAGGUGCUUGCGAGGCAGCCAGGUUGAGAAAGGAUUUGGGUUAAACCAAAGGCUGAUUUAUACUGCCAUUAUUGGGCGUGUCUACCC